Molecule: ribosomal RNA, 1788 nt
Filed under: Acinetobacter baumannii
Lineage: Bacteria; Pseudomonadati; Pseudomonadota; Gammaproteobacteria; Moraxellales; Moraxellaceae
Description: bacterial LSU rRNA
Rfam family: Bacterial large subunit ribosomal RNA
Source: RNAcentral
GUUGUAUAGUCAAGUAAUUAAGUGCAUGUGGUGGAUGCCUUGGCAGUCAGAGGCGAUGAAAGACGUGAUAGCCUGCGAAAAGCUCCGGGGAGGCGGCAAAUAUCCUUUGAUCCGGAGAUGUCUGAAUGGGGGAACCCACCUACUUUAAGGUAGGUAUUGCAACAUGAAUACAUAGUGUUGCAAGGCGAACGAGGGGAAGUGAAACAUCUCAGUACCCUUAGGAAAAGAAAUCAAUUGAGAUUCCCUCAGUAGCGGCGAGCGAACGGGGAUCAGCCCAUUAAGUUAUGUGUGUUUUAGUGGAACGCUCUGGGAAGUGCGAACGUAGAGGGUGAUAUUCCCGUACACGAAAGGGCACACAUAAUGAUGACGAGUAGGGCGAGGCACGUGAAACCUUGUCUGAAUAUGGGGGGACCAUCCUCCAAGGCUAAAUACUCCUGACUGACCGAUAGUGAACCAGUACCGUGAGGGAAAGGCGAAAAGAACCCCUGUGAGGGGAGUGAAAUAGAUCCUGAAACCGCAUGCAUACAAGCAGUGGGAGCACCUUCGUGGUGUGACUGCGUACCUUUUGUAUAAUGGGUCAGCGACUUAUAUUCAGUAGCGAGGUUAACCGUAUAGGGGAGCCGUAGAGAAAUCGAGUCUUAAUAGGGCGUUUAGUUGCUGGGUAUAGACCCGAAACCAGGCGAUCUAUCCAUGAGCAGGUUGAAGGUUGGGUAACACUAACUGGAGGACCGAACCCACUGUCGUUGAAAAGCCAGGGGAUGACUUGUGGAUAGGGGUGAAAGGCUAAUCAAGCCUGGUGAUAGCUGGUUCUCCCCGAAAGCUAUUUAGGUAGCGCCUCGGACGAAUACCAUAGGGGGUAGAGCACUGUUUCGGCUAGGGGGUCAUCCCGACUUACCAAACCGAUGCAAACUCCGAAUACCUAUGAGUACUAUCCGGGAGACAGACUGCGGGUGCUAACGUCCGUAGUCAAGAGGAAAACAAUCCAGACCGCCAGCUAAGGCCCCAAAAUCAUAGUUAAGUGGGAAACGAUGUGGGAAGGCAUAGACAGCUAGGAGGUUGGCUUAGAAGCAGCCACCCUUUAAAGAAAGCGUAAUAGCUCACUAGUCGAGUCGGCCUGCGCGGAAGAUGUAACGGGGCUAAAACUAUGUGCCGAAGCUGCGGAUGUAUACUUUGUAUACGUGGUAGGGGAGCGUUCUGUAAGCCGAUGAAGGUGUGUUGAGAAGCAUGCUGGAGGUAUCAGAAGUGCGAAUGCUGACGUGAGUAACGACAAAACGGGUGAAAAACCCGUUCGCCGAAAGACCAAGGGUUCCAGUCCAACGUUAAUCGGGGCUGGGUGAGUCGACCCCUAAGGCGAGGCCGAAAGGCGUAGUCGAUGGGAAAAUGGUUAAUAUUCCAUUACUUCUGUGUAAUGCGAUGAGAGGACGGAGAAGGCUAAAUCAGCCUGGCGUUGGUUGUCCAGGUGAAAGGAUGUAGGCAUGUAUCUUAGGCAAAUCCGGGGUACUCUAUGCUGAGAUCUGAUAGCAAGCUGUACUUGUACAGCGAAGUGGUUGAUGCCAUGCUUCCAGGAAAAGUCUCUAAGCUUCAGUUACACAGGAAUCGUACCCGAAACCGACACAGGUGGUCAGGUCGAGUAGACCAAGGCGCUUGAGAGAACUCUGCUGAAGGAACUAGGCAAAAUGGUACCGUAACUUCGGGAGAAGGUACGCUGUUGUUGGUGAUGGAACUCGCUUCCUGAGCUGACGACAGCCGCAGAAACCAGGCCGCUGCAACUGUUUAUUAAAAACAUAG